AACCACAAGACUGCAAAAAUCUCACGCCAGUAUGAUUUCGUGCUCGGAUCAUAUCCUUCUCGAUAUAGGGCAAAUGCAACAAACCGGAUAUUUCUGCCAAAGUAGGAGUCAUUUCACAUUCCCCAAACCUGAACACCAAACUACUUGGAUCCCAAAAGGUCAACAAAGCCUCUAUUAGAUCUGGACGAGGGGUAACAUGCAGAAGUUUCAUAAGAUCACCUAAUAUUUUAACCAGUUUCUACUGAUCAACAUAGUUAAACAUUUCCCACCAUUUGAUUAACUUUUUGGGCACCUUGACAACCAUCAGAACUCUAGACUUGGUGGACAAAUCCAUCCUGUAAUA
This 343-nucleotide long non-coding RNA is filed under the name Capsicum annuum. RNAcentral describes it as "long non-coding RNA (CANN_LNC018374)". The record is from RNAcentral. Lineage: Eukaryota; Viridiplantae; Streptophyta; Magnoliopsida; Solanales; Solanaceae.